Non-coding RNA from Pelobates cultripes (western spadefoot toad), 223 nucleotides. The record is from the annotation of a GenBank genome assembly. Lineage: Eukaryota; Metazoa; Chordata; Amphibia; Anura; Pelobatidae.
GCACUGGUUCUGAUGCUGCAGAUAUAUCACAGCAACUAGCUACUCAGAAUUCCAGGAUGGAUGGUCUCGACCAUCGCAUGGAUCAGUUUGCCCAGGCGCUACAGACCAUCUUGCAGCGUACUGCUCACCUCCAACCAGAGGCAGAGCAAGCUACGGCUGCCCCUCAGACUCCUGCUCUUGAGACUGUACCCAUUGUUCCAGCCCAUACUGUACAUAUGACACC